UGAAAUCGUAUUAAUUUUUCAAUAAAAUUCAUUUUAAAAAUUGUAAAACUUAUAAAAACUGCAUCAACCAGGUACUCAACUGCUCUUCUAAUAAUCACGGACUGCAAUUUUAAACAAUGAAGUACUGUAUUAAACCCAUAAAACUGGCAAACAUUAGAAAAUCAGAUAAGGUCAAAUGAAAGCCAGCAUGUGGCAAAAGGGCAAAACUCACACUUCUGAUGGAAUGUAAACUGGUAUAGCUAAUUUGAAAGAAAUAUUGCAGUAUACAGUAGAGUUGUAAAUGUAUUUAUGCUAUUAAUGAUUGCAGAACCAGUUUUCAAUUUUCCAUUAUCCUAGUAAUUGGUGCUAUUUUAAAGUAGUGGCAGACAUUUUGUACAUAUAUUUUGUGUAAAUAUUGAUACUUCAGACUUCACAGCUUAGCUCAACCCUCCCUUAACUCCUUCUCUCCUUCCCGUUUCCCUCCUCAUUCUGCUCCCUGAGAGCCUCCUCAUAAACGUGCCAGUCACUUGACCAUUCCUGGACACUCUUUACCUCUUAACAGCUCCCUUUCUCUUUCCCAUCCAAACUCCCCACCCCAUGCCUACCUAGUCCCUCCAAAAAACAGGGCUGAGCAGGGAUCAGAAGUGCCCUGAAGAAGACUCUUCUCUUCUCUGGGAUGGGAACAGUCCGACAGUGGGCACAGUGUGGAGGGAGAGGCCGCAGUAUCAAGUAAACACACAAGGAAGGUAUCAAAGCCCUUACAGGGCCGCCCCCAAGAGAAGCAGCAAUUCCAAGGGCCUUCUGGCUGGAGGACCAACAACAUGUGAGCAAUCACAUGAUUUAACUGUUGCAAGGUGUGAAGCUGACUGAUGCACUGGUUCAUGAGUUUAUGACUCAAGGCUGAAGGAGGCAAAACCCAGCAAUGCCAAGGGUGAAUCAACACCUGGGGGUAAUCAGUUAACUGGCCCACUGGGGAACCAGAACCCUGUUUGAAGUAGACUGCAGGGAGCCCACAGGAGGGGAGGAAAGCCAGGUCAACAGGAGGGACUAUGCGGCUGCUUGAGAGAGUAGGGAGCCUUCAAGAAGGAAGAUCUUGGACUAUGAGUUACCCAAGGGCAUGCCCAUAUUUAUUCCAAUGCGUAUGAUGUGCUGCUUGCAUUGACUGCCUCUCAGAUGCAGCCAGAUGCUAUGUCUCCCAGGAAGCCUGGACAUCAUUCUCUCUCUCCCCUGUGGCCAACUACCAACCAUUUCCUUACGGUAGUCUAUCUUGUGUUACAACUUGUGUAUGUGUCUCAUCACUCCUAUUAUUUUGUAAAUCUCUUUAAGGCAAGACCUACAUCUAAUAGAUUUUGAAUUCCACACAAUACCUAGGACAGAACCUGGCCUAUGCUACGUG
This is a long non-coding RNA of Manis pentadactyla (Chinese pangolin), 1375 nucleotides long. RefSeq lists it as uncharacterized. The record is from RefSeq and is a predicted model, not a curated record. The transcript is spliced from 4 exons. NCBI's taxonomy places the organism in Eukaryota, Metazoa, Chordata, Mammalia, Pholidota, Manidae.